CGGAUGUUGAGUACAGUGGCAAACGGGUGAGUAACGCGUGGGAAACCUGCCCUUCGGUCGGGGACAACAGUUCUAACGAGGUGCUAGUACCGGAUGUUGUCACGACAUCGCAUGGUGUUGUGAUGAAAGGCGGCCUCUGCUUGCAAGCUGUCACCGAAGGAUGGUCCCGCGUCCCAUUAGCUAGUUGGUGAGGUAAUGGCUUACCAAGGCAGUGAUGGGUAGCCGGCCUUAGCGGGUGACCGGCCACACUGGGACUGAGAUACGGCCCAGACUCCUACGGGAGGCAGCAGUCGAGAGGCUUCCACAAUGGGGGAAACCCUGAUGGAGCGACGCCGCGUGGGUGAUGAAGGUCUUCGGAUCGUAAAGCCCUUUCGACAGGGAAGAACGGCAUGGGGGUUAACAGCUCUCAAGCAAGGACUGUACCUGUAUAAGAAGCUCCGGCUAACUCCGUGCCAGCAGCCGCGGUAAGACGGAGGGAGCAAGCGUUGUUCGGAUUUACUGGGCGUAAAGGGCGUCUAGGCGGACAUACAAGUCAGGUGUGAAAUCCAUCGGCUCAACCGGUGAACCGCAUUUGAUACUG
This 580-nucleotide ribosomal RNA is filed under the name uncultured organism. Its description in RNAcentral is "bacterial SSU rRNA". It matches the Rfam family "Bacterial small subunit ribosomal RNA", at positions 80 to 635 of the family's 1533-position model. The record is from RNAcentral.